AGCGUCUCAGAUGAGACUGUUCGUAUAUCUUCGGCAUGACGGGCCGGGGGUCUCUACAAGGAACCGAUAAUUCCUGGCUACGAGCGGCGGGUUUUCCAUA
Molecule: non-coding RNA, 100 nt
Filed under: Paenibacillus sp.
Lineage: Bacteria; Bacillati; Bacillota; Bacilli; Caryophanales; Paenibacillaceae
Also listed under: 1 other name
Description: Guanine sequence
Rfam family: Purine riboswitch aptamer
About the family: Riboswitches are metabolite binding domains within certain messenger RNAs that serve as precision sensors for their corresponding targets. Allosteric rearrangement of mRNA structure is mediated by ligand binding, and this results in modulation of gene expression.
Source: RNAcentral